This 253-nucleotide ribosomal RNA is filed under the name uncultured bacterium. RNAcentral's name for it is "partial 16S ribosomal RNA". It matches the Rfam family "Bacterial small subunit ribosomal RNA", at positions 524 to 776 of the family's 1533-position model. The record is from RNAcentral.
GACGUAGGGGGCAAGCGUUGUUCGGAUUUAUUGGGCGUAAAGGGUGCGUAGGCGGCGCGACAAGUCACCUGUGAAAUCUCUGGGCUUAACUCAGAGCCUGCAGGCGAAACUGCUGUGCUGGAGUAUGGGAGAGGUGCGUGGAAUUCCCGGUGUAGCGGUGAAAUGCGUAGAUAUCUGCAGGAACACCCGUGGCGAAAGCGGCGCGCUGGACCACAACUGACGCUGAGGCGCGAAAGCUAGGGGAGCAAACAGG